ACUAGCAGCUAUAUCACCCUGCAACUCACAACUGGCAACCCACUGAAGCUAAGCAGGUGUGAGCCUGGUCAGUACCUGGAUGGGAGACCUCCUGGGAAAAACUAAGGUUGCUGCUGGAA
Lepisosteus oculatus (spotted gar) is the source of this 119-nucleotide ribosomal RNA. The record is from Ensembl. NCBI's taxonomy places the organism in Eukaryota, Metazoa, Chordata, Actinopteri, Semionotiformes, Lepisosteidae.